GUCCGGCUGAUGAGUCCUGAGUAGGACGAAACGUGCGUACUGGAU
Molecule: non-coding RNA, 45 nt
Filed under: Schistosoma margrebowiei
Lineage: Eukaryota; Metazoa; Platyhelminthes; Trematoda; Strigeidida; Schistosomatidae
Source: RNAcentral